RNAcentral lists this transfer-messenger RNA (286 nucleotides) under Tepidimonas sp. RNAcentral's name for it is "partial transfer-messenger RNA". It matches the Rfam family "transfer-messenger RNA", at positions 1 to 282 of the family's 374-position model. From Rfam's summary of the family: Bacterial tmRNA, also known as 10Sa RNA or SsrA, is named for its dual tRNA and mRNA-like properties. The record is from RNAcentral. Lineage: Bacteria; Pseudomonadati; Pseudomonadota; Betaproteobacteria; Burkholderiales.
GGGGCUGCAUUGGUUUCGACGUGGGUUCGUAUCCGCAGCAGGGCAUGUCGAGGUGCUGUCACCUCGUUAAACCGCAGCAAAAAAGUAACUGCGAACGACGAACGUUUCGCCCUCGCCGCCUAAUCCGGCGAGCCUUGCACCGGUCGGCCGAGCGGCCGGGCUGUGAAGACCGUCAGGUUUUCCAGCAGCAAGGAACAUUCAAUUCGGCUGGUCGUGCGGCGGGCAACUUGCCGCACGGCGAGAUCCAAGGUUGCUGGUCACGGGCGUAGCGUGCCGCUGCGCGACG